CACGAAGUUAGCCGGUGCUUAUUCCUCAGGUACCGUCAGCCCCGCCGGGUAUUAGCCGGCAGUAUUUCGCUCCUGAUAAAAGUGCUUUACAACCCGAAGGCCUUCUUCACACACGCGGCAUUGCUGGAUCAGGCUUGCGCCCAUUGUCCAAUAUUCCCCACUGCUGCCUCCCGUAGGAGUCUGGGCCGUGUCUCAGUCCCAGUGUGGCUGAUCAUCCUCUCAGACCAGCUAGCGAUCGUCGCCUUGGUGAGCCUUUACCUCACCAACUAGCUAAUCGCACAUCGGUUCGUCCAGCCGCGCGAGGCCCGAAGGUCCCCCGCUUUCUCCCGUAGGACGUAUGCGGUAUUAGCGUAAGUUUCCCUACGUUAUCCCCCACGUCUGGGUAGAUCCCGAUGCCUUACUCACCCGUCCGCCACUCGCCACCCAUGGAGCAAGCUCCACUGUGCUGCCGUUCGACUUGCAUGUGUUAGGCAUGCCGCCAGCGUUCAA
This 489-nucleotide ribosomal RNA is filed under the name uncultured Lysobacteraceae bacterium. RNAcentral describes it as "uncultured Xanthomonadaceae bacterium partial 16S ribosomal RNA". Lineage: Bacteria; Pseudomonadati; Pseudomonadota; Gammaproteobacteria; Lysobacterales; Lysobacteraceae. The record is from RNAcentral.